AGCUCCAAUAGCGUAUAUUAAAGUUGUUGCGGUUAAAAAGCUCGUAGUUGGAUUUCUGCCGAGUAUCUGGUGGUUCAUACCAUGUAUGCAAUCUACUGUGAACUUGGCAUCCUCGUAAAAUUCGCAUGUGCUCUUAAUUGGGCGUGUGUGGGAUUUACGACUUUUACUUUGAGGAAAUUGGAGUGUUUACGGCAAGCAAAUGCUUUGAACAUAUUAGCAUGGAAUAAUAAUAUAGGACCUUGGGGCUAUUUUAUUGGUUUCUAGAACUGAGGUAAUGAUUAAUAGGGUCAGUUGGGGGCAUUCGUAUUAACGCGUCAGAGGUGGAAUUCUUGGAUUGCGUUACGACGAACUACUGCGAAAGCAUUUGCCAAGGAUGUUUUCA
This 382-nucleotide ribosomal RNA is filed under the name uncultured eukaryote. Its description in RNAcentral is "SSU rRNA". It matches the Rfam family "Eukaryotic small subunit ribosomal RNA", at positions 587 to 972 of the family's 1831-position model. The record is from RNAcentral.